Molecule: long non-coding RNA, 217 nt
Filed under: Pan troglodytes (chimpanzee)
Lineage: Eukaryota; Metazoa; Chordata; Mammalia; Primates; Hominidae
Description: long non-coding RNA NONPTRT000935
Source: RNAcentral
UUGGGGGCUGUCCCUAGGCUUAAAACAACUGUCCCGUUGCUUCCUAUAGACCAAAAUCUUCGAAUGCACUGGAAAUACAAAAGUAGAGUGUCUCUAGCCCUCUGGUUGCUAGUGAUGAAGGCAAAGUGGAUAUUCAGAGAACAGUCAGAACUUCAUCUGGGAGGAAACAUGGAGUGUGAUACUGGAGAGUUAGAGUUUAACAAAAUGGAUUGUGUCA